AUACAUUGAUCAUCGACACUUCGAACGCAACAUUGCGGCCCAGGUAAUUGCCUGGGCCACGUCUGGCUGGAGGGUCGC
Molecule: ribosomal RNA, 78 nt
Filed under: Puntius chola (swamp barb)
Lineage: Eukaryota; Metazoa; Chordata; Actinopteri; Cypriniformes; Cyprinidae
Description: partial 5.8S ribosomal RNA
Source: RNAcentral